RNAcentral lists this ribosomal RNA (163 nucleotides) under Aeromonas veronii. RNAcentral describes it as "partial 23S ribosomal RNA". The stretch from base 1 to 142 matches the Rfam family "Bacterial large subunit ribosomal RNA", at positions 2789 to 2925 of the family's 2925-position model. Lineage: Bacteria; Pseudomonadati; Pseudomonadota; Gammaproteobacteria; Aeromonadales; Aeromonadaceae. The record is from RNAcentral.
GAAGCGAGCCCUGAGAUGAGUCAUCCCUGACCCCUUGAGGGUCCUAAAGGGCCGUUGGAGACCACAACGUUGAUAGGUGGGGUGUGUAAGCGCAGUGAUGUGUUGAGCUAACCCAUACUAAUUACCCGUGAGGCUUAACCAUACAACACCCAAGAAGUGUUCU